RNAcentral lists this ribosomal RNA (439 nucleotides) under uncultured bacterium. RNAcentral describes it as "partial 16S ribosomal RNA". It matches the Rfam family "Bacterial small subunit ribosomal RNA", at positions 339 to 795 of the family's 1533-position model. The record is from RNAcentral.
CUACGGGUGGCACCAGUGGGGAAUAUUGGACAAUGGGCGCAAGCCUGAUCCAGCAAUGCCGCGUGAGUGAAGACGGCCUUAGGGUUGUAAAACUCUUUCGCUAGGGAAGAUAAUGACUGUACCUAGCAAAGAAGUCCCGGCUAACUCCGUGCCAGCAGCCGCGGUAAUACGGAGGGGACUAGCGUUGUUCGGAAUUACUGGGCGUAAAGAGUUCGUAGGCGGACUGACAAGUUAGAGGUGAAAUCCCAGGGCUCAACCCUGGAACUGCCUUUAAAACUGUCAGUCUAGAGACCGGAAGAGGUUAGGGGAAUACCUAGUGUAGAGGUGAAAUUCGUAGAUAUUAGGUGGAACACCAGUGGCGAAGGCGCCUAACUGGUCCGGUACUGACGCUGAGGAACGAAAGCGUGGGGAGCAAACAGGAUUAGAUACCCCAGUAGUC